This is a long non-coding RNA of Culex pipiens pallens (northern house mosquito), 652 nucleotides long. RefSeq lists it as uncharacterized. The transcript is spliced from 2 exons. The record is from RefSeq and is a predicted model, not a curated record. NCBI's taxonomy places the organism in Eukaryota, Metazoa, Arthropoda, Insecta, Diptera, Culicidae.
AUGUGAAUAUCAUUUAAAAGCAGCUGAUCGGUAUCCAAAGAUCUUUCACUCUUUGUUCAAAUGAAUUUCACUUAGAUUUACCCCAUUUGACUUUUCUUUUGAUUUCGAAGUGGAAAGCACGUUAGAUUGGAAUGUUUUGGUUUGAAAUGAGUGUGGCAAAAAAAAUCAUUAGUAAGAUGGCCACGGACGAAGCCGGUGAAAAAUUUGCGGUUCGAAGCAAACUAUUCUUUUUGCCAACAAAUUACUUAAGUUUACAUAUUUCUGCGCUGGUGAAAAUCAGGUUCCGGUCAGAGGUCGUCUAAAGAAUCUGCUCCGAUUCGGAGCUGUUAGUUCGGGCGAAAAAUUGCAAGUGGUGUUUUCGAGAUUCACCAUGGACAUCACUACGCAUCCGCCAGCUGCCGGAUCGGGAAGUGUUUGAUGGUCUUGGACACUUUUGCUCGAAAAGCUUGAACCCGUUCGCGAACGAGAUGGACCGUGACGUUACACCGGCUCAGCAGAGGUCAUGUAUUGCACAGAUCGGUAAAACGCCCUCGGAACCUGGUCCGCAUUCUUCAACGCAGCAGUGAAAUUUAAUGUAUGUGAAGUAAAUUGUGUGAUUUUGUGCAAUGUAUAAGUUUUUAUUUCGAAAAAUAAAUCUUAUUUAUAUUUGAAA